Long non-coding RNA from Felis catus (domestic cat), 4100 nucleotides. RefSeq lists it as uncharacterized. NCBI's taxonomy places the organism in Eukaryota, Metazoa, Chordata, Mammalia, Carnivora, Felidae. The transcript has 6 exons. The record is from RefSeq and is a predicted model, not a curated record.
CCCACCAGCGAGCCCCACUGCCUUGAGUACGUGGGCAGGGGCAGACCGGGCAGAGAUGAGGUGCUGCUGCAGGAGGAAGCGGGCGACUUCAACGAUGGAACUGAAGGAUCGUUUCAGGAUUCGUUCUGCCCAGUCACAGACACCAGUGUCAACCACAGCAAGACCAGACUGCAAAUGGGAGUAACUCGCCCCAGGAACCCACAAAUUCUCUUCACCGUCUGCCUGAGCCAUCGGACUACCACUUCAGCAGUGCUGGACCAAAUCACUCGGCCCGGAAUCCACCUUUUCCAGGUAAACCAGGACAGCACAUUUCCUUCUUUAUCAAGCGGUUAUGAGUAUUCCUAGUCACACAGCCCCAUAUCAGUGAGCCUUCCUUUAAGAACCAGAACCUCUGACGCCUUCAACUGUAGCACCAAACCUACCUUUUGUCUCCAGUACUGGGUCCUGAGGGGAGCUGAAGGUAGAGAUACAGCUUGUCGUUGUCUGAGAAUUUCUGUACAUCUUGCUGAGGUUGGGAGGAACAGAGGCAGGGGAAAAAAAUAAAGCCAAGAAGGACCCAAGGUAGGAUCUUCUGAUCCCUCCCCCCAAAUUGGGCUGCCUUAGAGACUGUCAGAGUGAAAAAGGACCUUAGAAAUGAUCUGGCGCUGGGUUCUCACUCUAUCUGAGAGGCACCUAGGUGAGCUACCAUGGUGAGAGGGGAGUGGAGGGGAUCGGCUUUGAUUUUAUUCCUACUGAGUGUCUAUACCACAGGUCACAGAGAGAUGAACUAAGAUGCUCAAGGUCAAACUGGCAGCAAGUUGCAAAGCCAAUUAUCUUCUGACGGGGAAGACAACACUGCUUGUCCCAAAGAAACCUUUCACUUAGGCAUACCCUCUUCCUCCUCCUCCCCGCUGCACCAACUCCAUCUCUCUACUGCCCUCUUCCCGAAAACACUCACCAGGAUCCCCUCGACUUUGUUCUGCACGGCCUUGCUGUGGAGGAGAGGAGAAAGCUGGAGGUCACACACAAGAUUUUCCCUGGUGUCUUACUGUUAGGGAGAGGAAGAGGGCUGAGAGGCCUGGCAGGUGCUCAGCAACGGCUACCAUGAUGGAGAAUCUCCCAGUGCUCACAGGCACUUGCUCAGGGAGAGGCAGUUCAUCUACAGAGGAAGUGAAGUGCUACGGUUCUGGAGCAAGACUUGGAGGUGGUGAGGAGUACUUACGAAAUGGUACCUCGGAGCCUCUGAAGAAGGGUGGUGGGUUCUCCCGCCUCAGCACUACCUGAGGGGGGCCGUCCCCCAGUCUUGGGGCUCUUAGCGUCGGGUUCAUCUUCUGCCAUCCCGGCAUGAGGGCUAGAGUUAAGAGGAGACACGACAGGAAGAUUCAACCUCCCUUCCCCUGGAGCCACCCCACCGCUCCCCAGGCGCUCCUCGUCUCCCUACCCAGAAACACAGAGAAACAGAAAGCCUCUGAAUGUCCUCAGUGGUCUUUUUUUCUCACCACUUGCCUUCUCCCCAAAUUAGAAAUGAUCCCAUUCCUUCUCCAGGCCCAUAUAUACCCAAAGAGAUCUCUGCCACCUCCAUUCUAUCUGCUCCCCCCCCCCCCCCUGCUUCCUGCAGUCUCCUGAGUGUGGAAAACUGUACAGGAAGAGAUAGGCGGGUUGGGAAUCCACGUUAGAAAUGUCCAUUUCUGCCUCUGGCCCCGUCCCGCCCUCACCCCCUUAAAAAACCAAAAACAAGAACCACCACAAAACAAAGUUCUCCGAUUCUCCUCACGCCUGAAUUUUCCUGGGAGGUCAGAAAGGAUACGAACAUACUCUGCCCUUGCAGGCUUGGAAAAAACUGGGCCCAAGUUCUCAUUACUUAAUCUCGCCACGGCUUCCCCCGCGGCUCCCCCUCCCCACGUCGCCGGUCCCUACGUCAUCUCCCUCAACCUCCCAUCCUGAGGCGCACCCCCACCUCCCUCCCUUCCCCCUGCAUUCAAUCCCGCGUUGCUGCAAGGUGGGAGGCUUCAGGGGGGCGAACUCCUGGGCUGGGCGUAGGAAACCCGGUUGGGGGAACGGGGUCCCGGAUUCGGGGCACGUGCACAUGGGCGAAGGAGCUGUUGAAAAUACGGCCACAAUCUUUUUCUGCUCUCCUCCCAACUCAUACUGCCCCCCUCCCUACCUUUGAACAGUCGCCUUCCAACACAAGCAACAAUAAAGAUCGCGAGUCAAAUGAAAGCAGUGGACCCUCUGCUAUGAAAAAUGCACGUGAGGACUAAGUUUUGCAUCUAGUUUCAAAGGUGCCCAUGAAGGUCAAAUAAGCCAAUGUAUUCAGAAGUACUUUAAAGGAGAAGGAAGUGUUGUAUAAAUAUGGGAAGGACUGUGCCAGAAGCUGGGGACAGAAAUCCCAGGCAGUGGAACCUGCUGACUCGGCGUCUACAGAAGCCACUUUCAUCUUGGAUGAAAGCUAUGGGGUGAAGUUUUUAUUGGAUAGUGAAAGGGACGAAGUUUGGUCUCGAGACUGCCGGCGGAAAGAUCCAUGGUGUUUCCAAACCGGAGUGAAAGGAAGAACAAAGCUGGGCUGCAGUAUGACAGAUGAUGGGCAUCUGUCCUCCUGGUUCCCGUGGGUAAGGGAGCACCCAGAGGGAGAUGCUCUGUGGCUGCCCUUACCCCCUUCUCCUCAAUAUCACUCAACUCCCCUGACUCUUUCCUACAUCUGGGUCCUCACCAUCAUGCCAUCAGCCAGGCAUGUGCCGCAGUCAGCCUUGUGGGUGCAGCUGUCCCCCAGGGGGUGGCCCAGGGGGCUGCUUCUUCGCCUGGGCUGGCCUCCCCAUCUGCUGGCUGUCUCUCCUCACCCUGCCUCCAGCCUGCGCCUCUGGCCUCCUCCUCCUCCUCCUCCUCAGACCCCAUCUCAUACCUCCUCUACUUUCCUGCUUUGGGGCUUGAAGUAGCCUUACAACCAAGAUCUGAAAGAGAAAGAAAGCCCAUCCUCACCCCCUUGUCAAAAGUUCUGGGGCACCUGGGGGGCUCAGUCGGUUAACCGUCUGACAUCGGCUCAGGUCACGAUCUUGCGGUUCGUGGGAUCGAGCCCCGCGUCGGGCCCUCUGCUCUCAGUGCUGAGCCCACCUCAGAUCUUCUGUCUCCCUUUCUCUCUCUGCCCCUCCCCCUUUUGCGUAUGUGCUCUUAAAGUAAAUAAAUAAACGUUUAAAAAAAAAGGUUCUUGAGUCAUCACCCCCAAAGAAACUGUGAUUUUGCUUAUUCUAGACAAGAACCGCAAAGCACCAUUCUGUCACAGACUGUAGGUUCUUCCAUGCUCUGAACCCUGACCUGGUGUUCUCUGUGGCUUCUGAAUGGCACCCCUAGCCCCUACCUACUGCUUCCUCCACAGCCUGCAAGGUGGUUGGGAAAAUUCAUUCAAAUCAGGGCUACAGGUGGAAGCAGCCCAGGGAGAGGGCUCAGGCUGGUCGUAGAAGGGUCCACGGCCCAUGGCGUCUUUGCUUCCAUGAUGGGCCACCCCAGUCAGCCUCAUUGUGGCUCAGGCAUCCCUAAUGUUGCUUCUCAGGAACUUAUGCAUUCUCUCCUCUCUCUGAUCUGCCCUUCCCUAGCCAACCAGAGUCCAACUGGAGCUGGCUGACUCCCAGAUUGAUAUGAAGGCAUAUGAGGAGGGCCACAAGCUUCCUGCCCUGGGCAGUCCCAGGGAGGGUGAGACCUCAGCCCAGGUCUGCUAAUCCCAGGAGGCCAUAUGCCUGACACUGGGCACCCCCACCCCAAAGGAGGGUGGGUGCGGCCCAUGUUCCUUCCUGCUGGUUCAAGCUCCAAAAAAGCACAGUAAAUAUUAGAGGAGGUAGGUUAUCAGGCCAGCAGCUGAACAGCCAGGCGGUUAUGUAACCGCUGCCCGAACUUUGGCUUUGCUCCAUCAUCUACAGACAGAAAGCAGAUUCUUGUGGCGUAGGGGGUAUGGAGCCCCUCUGCUGGUUCCCCCCUUUCCUUCCAGUCUCUGCCAGACUUCUUUGGGCCUCUUUAAACAGACCACUGUUUGGCAAGAUGGUGUAGUGAGGAAAGAAAGAUUAAACCCAGAGAAGGGAAAGGAGAGGAGAUGACGUCAGAGUCUCCAAGAAUAAUUUAACAUUUAAAAAAGA